GAUAAACGCUGGCGGCGCACAUAAGACAUGCAAGUCGAACGAACUUAAUACCUUGCUUGCAAGGUAAGCGGUUAGUGGCGGACUGGUGAGUAACACGUAAGAAAUCUGCCUAUCAGAGGGGAAUAACAGUGAGAAAUCACUGCUAAUACCGCAUAUGCCAUAGUCAUCGCAUGAUGAUAGUGGGAAAGAAGCAAUUCGCUGAUAGAUGAGCUUGCGGCUGAUUAGCUAGUUGGUGGGGUAACGGCCUACCAAGGCGACGAUCAGUAGCCGGACUGAGAGGUUGAACGGCCACAUUGGGACUGAGAUACGGCCCAG
Molecule: ribosomal RNA, 315 nt
Filed under: uncultured bacterium
Lineage: Bacteria
Description: bacterial SSU rRNA
Rfam family: Bacterial small subunit ribosomal RNA
Source: RNAcentral